GACGAACGCUGGCGGCGUGCUUAACACAUGCAAGUCGAACGGUAAGGCCCUUCGGGGUACACGAGUGGCGAACGGGUGAGUAACACGUGGGUGAUCUGCCCUGCACUUCGGGAUAAGCCUGGGAAACUGGGUCUAAUACCGGAUAGGACCCUGGGAUGCAUGUCCUGGGGUGGAAAGCUUUUGCGGUGUGGGAUGGGCCCGCGGCCUAUCAGCUUGUUGGUGGGGUGAUGGCCUACCAAGGCGACGACGGGUAGCCGGCCUGAGAGGGUGACCGGCCACACUGGGACUGAGAUACUGCCCAGACUCCUACGGGAGGCAGCAGUGGGGAGUAGUGCACAAUGGGCGCAAGCCUGAUGCAGCGACGCCGCGUGAGGGAUGACGGCCUUCGGGUUGUAAACCUCUUUCAGCACCGACGAAGCGCAAGUGACGGUAGGUGCAGAAGAAGGACCGGCCAACUACGUGCCAGCCGCCGCGGUAA
RNAcentral lists this ribosomal RNA (478 nucleotides) under uncultured bacterium. RNAcentral's name for it is "partial 16S ribosomal RNA". It matches the Rfam family "Bacterial small subunit ribosomal RNA", at positions 28 to 523 of the family's 1533-position model. The record is from RNAcentral.